AGUGAACGCUGGCGGUAGGCCUAACACAUGCAAGUCGAACGGCAGCACAGUAAGAGCUUGCUCUUACGGGUGGCGAGUGGCGGACGGGUGAGGAAUACAUCGGAAUCUACUUUUUCGUGGGGGAUAACGUAGGGAAACUUACGCUAAUACCGCAUACGACCUACGGGUGAAAGCAGGGGAUCUUCGGACCUUGCGCGAUUGAAUGAGCCGAUGUCGGAUUAGCUAGUUGGCGGGGUAAAGGCCCACCAAGGCGACGAUCCGUAGCUGGUCUGAGAGGAUGAUCAGCCACACUGGAACUUAGACACGGUCCAGACUCCUACGGGAGGCAGCAGUGGGGAAUAUUGGACAAUGGGCGCAAGCCUGAUCCAGCCAUACCGCGUGGGUGAAGAAGGCCUUCGGGUUGUAAAGCCCUUUUGUUGGGAAAGAAAAGCAGCAGGUUAAUACCCCGCAGUUCUGACGGUACCCAAAGAAUAAGCACCGGCUAACUUCGUG
This 492-nucleotide ribosomal RNA is filed under the name uncultured bacterium. RNAcentral describes it as "partial 16S ribosomal RNA". It matches the Rfam family "Bacterial small subunit ribosomal RNA", at positions 29 to 507 of the family's 1533-position model. The record is from RNAcentral.